RNAcentral lists this ribosomal RNA (363 nucleotides) under uncultured bacterium. RNAcentral describes it as "bacterial SSU rRNA". It matches the Rfam family "Bacterial small subunit ribosomal RNA", at positions 72 to 422 of the family's 1533-position model. The record is from RNAcentral.
AAGCCCCGCAAGGGGCAAGUAGAGUGGCAAACGGGUGAGUAACACGUGGGUGACCUGCCUUCGAGCGGGGGAUAACGUCCCGAAAGGGACGCUAAUACCGCAUAACAUCCUGCCUUUGAAGAGGUGGAGAUCAAAGCCGGGGAUCGCAGGACCCGGCACUUGAAGAGGGGCCCGCGCCUGAUUAGCUAGUUGGUGGGGUAACGGCUCACCAAGGCAACGAUCAGUAUCCGGCCUGAGAGGGCGGACGGACACACUGGGACUGAGACACGGCCCAGACUCCUACGGGAGGCAGCAGUGGGGAAUUGUUCGCAAUGGGCGAAAGCCUGACGACGCAACGCCGCGUGGAGGAUGAAUACUUUCGGG